AUUGAACGCUGGCGACAUGCCUUACACAUGCAAGUCGAACGGCAGCACGGGUGCUUGCACCUGGUGGCGAGUGGCGAACGGGUGAGUAAUACAUCGGAACAUGUCCUGUAGUGGGGGAUAGCCCGGCGAAAGCCGGAUUAAUACCGCAUACGAUCUACGGAUGAAAGCGGGGGACCUUCGGGCCUCGCGCUAUAGGGUUGGCCGAUGGCUGAUUAGCUAGUUGGUGGGGUAAAGGCCUACCAAGGCGACGAUCAGUAGCUGGUCUGAGAGGACGACCAGUCACACUGGGACUGAGACACGGCCCAGACUCCUACGGGAGGCAGCAGUGGGGAAUUUUGGACAAUGGGCGAAAGCCUGAUCCAGCAAUGCCGCGUGUGUGAAGAAGGCCUUCGGGUUGUAAAGCACUUUUGUCCGGAAAGAAAUCCUUGGCCCUAAUACGGUCGGGGGAUGACGGUACCGGAAGAAUAAGCACCGGCUAACUACGUA
Molecule: ribosomal RNA, 486 nt
Filed under: uncultured bacterium
Lineage: Bacteria
Description: partial 16S ribosomal RNA
Rfam family: Bacterial small subunit ribosomal RNA
Source: RNAcentral